This 327-nucleotide ribosomal RNA is filed under the name Comamonas testosteroni. RNAcentral describes it as "bacterial LSU rRNA". It matches the Rfam family "Bacterial large subunit ribosomal RNA", at positions 1 to 364 of the family's 2925-position model. Lineage: Bacteria; Pseudomonadati; Pseudomonadota; Betaproteobacteria; Burkholderiales; Comamonadaceae. The record is from RNAcentral.
GUUAUAGGGUCAAGUGACUAAGAGCAUAUGGUGGAUGCCUUGGCGAUGAUAGGCGACGAAAGACGUGAUAGCCUGCGAUAAGCUUCGGGGAGCUGGCAAAUAAGCUUUGAUCCGGAGAUUUCUGAAUGGGGGAACCCACCUCGCAAGAGGUAUCGUGCACUGAAUACAUAGGUGCACGAAGCGAACCUGGAGAACUGAAACAUCUAAGUACCCAGAGGAAAAGACAUCAACCGAGAUUCCGAUAGUAGUGGCGAGGGAAUUCGGAAGAGCCUUGCAGUGAUAGUCGAUCAGUUAACAAAACGGCAUGGAAAGGCCGACCAUAGUGGG